Long non-coding RNA from Homo sapiens (human), 161 nucleotides. The record is from Ensembl. Lineage: Eukaryota; Metazoa; Chordata; Mammalia; Primates; Hominidae.
GUCGGUUGCAGCCUGCGCAGGAAGGAUGACGCUCCCGUCAGGCUGUGCGGCGCAGACGGUCGCCCAAUGGAGUUGUCUUUCAGGAGGUUUUAACUUGGCCAGCAGUGAUGGUGCUGCAGCUACAAUUGCAUUUGAAGGUUAAUAAAUGGUAUUUUCAAAUA